This 1955-nucleotide long non-coding RNA is filed under the name Homo sapiens (human). RNAcentral's name for it is "HSALNT0403772". The record is from RNAcentral. Lineage: Eukaryota; Metazoa; Chordata; Mammalia; Primates; Hominidae.
AGGUGUGUGAGUGGUUGUGUGUGGGUCCUAAGGUGUGUGAGAGGUUGUGUGUGGGUCCUAAGGUGUGUGAGUGGUUGUGUGUGGGUCCUAAGGUGUGUGAGAGGUUGUGUGAGUCCUGAGGUGUGUGAGAGGAUUGUGUGUGAGUCCUGAGGUGUGUGAGGGGUUAUGUAUGGGCCCCUGAGGUGUGUGAGGGGUUUUAUGUGUGUCCUGAGAAGUGUGAUGAAUUGUGUGGGUCCUGAGGUGUGUGAGGGUUUGUGUAUGAGACCCUGAGGUGUGUCAACAUUGUGUGUGAGACCCUGAGGUGUGUGAGGGGUUGUGUGUGGAUUCCUGAGGUGUGUGAGGGCUUGUGUGUAUGAGCCUGAGGUGUGUGGGUUCCUUAUAUGGGUUCCUGAGGUGUGUGAGGGGUUGUGUGUGUGUCCUGAGGUGUGUGAGGGGUUGUGCUUGGGUCCUGGGGUGUGUGAGUGGGUGUUUGUCCUGAGGUGUGUGAGAGGUUGUGUGUGUGUCCUGAGGUGUGUGAGAGUUUGCGUAGGUUCCUGAGGUAUGUGAGGGGUUGUGUGUGUCCUGAGGUGUGUGAGAGGUUGUGUGAGUCCCUGGGGUGUGUGAGAGUUUGUGUAGGUUUCUGAGGUGUGUGAGAGUUUGUGUAGCUUCCUGAGGUGUGUGAGAGGUUGUGUGAGUCCCUGAGGUGCGUGAGGGGUUGUGUGUGUCCUGAAGUGUGUGAGAGGUUGUGUAGGUUUCAGGCUUUGCAGCUCCCCUCCUGAGCCUCAGCCGGGCGGCUCCCAGGGCAGGGUCCCCCCAUCCCUGUCUCUGCUGCGGCUCUCUGUGUGUUGCUCUUCCCGGCCUGGCCAGGACAUUUUCUUCAUUGAGUCUUCCCCAGAUUCUCACCCUGCAGCAACCACGUGCGGCAGCAGUAGGACCCAACUGAUUAGAAAGGAAAUUACAUAGUCAGUGACCAGCUGAGACUGAGUACGGACAGAGGAAGAAGCUAACUUACAUCUAAAGAGACCUGAAGUCAGGAGACAUUUCUAGAUAAACCCCUCAGCCAGAUAACAUCAACCCAUGACUUCCAAUACCAUUGCUGAAGAGGUCACAGAGGAGAGAGAAUCCUGAGAAGAUUUUUAAAAUCUGAAAGUUCUUGUAUUAAAAGAAGUGGGAAGUUUCUUGGUCUAAACUCUCAGCUGUGAGUACUAAUUUGUGGCGUGAUGGUGAGGUGAAAUGGCAGAGGCCCAUGGCACAUCAUUGCAGAAUAUGCGUUAGACUUUCACAAGUCAUCAGUCAUGAAUUUCAGGAUCUGGCUGCUUGUCUUCAUGGGAGACGUCAGGAACCCACCACUUAACCACACAAGGGCCCAACUCAUCGAGCAUUACAGCUUGGGGAAGAAACGCCAGCCGCGAGCCAGAGAAACAAAAACGAGGGGCUGUCCCUAAAAUGCAGGAUCCAAGGGCCUGGAGCUGGAGAGAAAUCAGGCAGCACCUCACAGAAUCCAGGCUCACAGAAAGUCUGUUUCGAUCAGAAUUUAAAACAACCCUCUUCCUGCUGCAACUCUUCAGGCCACUGACAAGGUGACAGGAUCACAUUUUGUACAGGAUACAAACAUAUUCCCUAUGGGUGGACAAAACGACCCCGUAGCCCAUCUACACCAAGGAGCUGCACCUGUGCCCUGUGUAGCCAGAUGCAAUUUUCUAUUAUUGGAAAAUCCACUUUAAGUUGUUCCUUAGCAAAUUCUUCCCAAGUACUGUUUCCUUUCCUCAAUUCCUGGCCUAGCAAGUCUAGAAAGAAAACAAAAAGAAUGUAAAAUGUUCUUGGUUGACUUUACUCUUAAUUACUAAAAAGCAAACAGAGAAAAUUAAAAUCAAACACAUGCAAAAAAUUCUUCUAGAGCCUUGCACACAAUGCCAGUUCUUGAAAUAUUUCAUAAAGCAAAGCUAAUGAAAUAAACAAAGACGUGGCUGAAAGGA